UACGGGGGGGGCAAGCGUUGUUCGGAAUUACUGGGCGUAAAGGGUGCGUAGGCGGUCUUCUAAGUUUGAUGUGAAAUCCCGGGGCUCAACCCUGGAAUUGCAUUGGAUACUGGAGGACUAGAGUACCGGAGAGGAAACUGGAAUUUACGGUGUAGCAGUGAAAUGCGUAGAGAUCGUAAGGAAGACCAGUGGCGAAGGCGAGUUUCUGGACGGUAACUGACGCUGAGGCACGAAGGCCAGGGGAGCAAACGGG
RNAcentral lists this ribosomal RNA (253 nucleotides) under uncultured bacterium. Its description in RNAcentral is "partial 16S ribosomal RNA". It matches the Rfam family "Bacterial small subunit ribosomal RNA", at positions 524 to 776 of the family's 1533-position model. The record is from RNAcentral.